GUCCACACAGUAAACGAUGAAUACUCGCUGUUUGCGAUAUACAGUAAGCGGCCAAGCGAAAGCAUUAAGUAUUCCACCUGGGGAGUACGCCGGCAACGGUGAAACUCAAAGGAAUUGACGGGGGCCCCGCACAAGCGGAGGAACAUGUGGUUUAAUUCGAUGAUACGCGAGGAACCUUACCCGGGCUUAAAUUGCAUUUGAAUAAUCUGGAAACAGGUUAGCCGCAAGGCAAAUGUGAAGGUGCUGCAUGGUUGUCGU
This 258-nucleotide ribosomal RNA is filed under the name uncultured bacterium. RNAcentral's name for it is "partial 16S ribosomal RNA". It matches the Rfam family "Bacterial small subunit ribosomal RNA", at positions 793 to 1055 of the family's 1533-position model. The record is from RNAcentral.